RNAcentral lists this ribosomal RNA (497 nucleotides) under uncultured bacterium. Its description in RNAcentral is "partial 16S ribosomal RNA". It matches the Rfam family "Bacterial small subunit ribosomal RNA", at positions 28 to 507 of the family's 1533-position model. The record is from RNAcentral.
GAUGAACGCUGGCGGCGUGCCUAAUACAUGCAAGUCGAGCGAACGGACGAGAAGCUUGCUUCUCUGAUGUUAGCGGCGGACGGGUGAGUAACACGUGGAUAACCUACCUAUAAGACUGGGAUAACUUCGGGAAACCGUAGCUAAUACCGGAUAAUAUUUUGAACGGCAUGGUUCAAAAGUGAAAGACGGUCUUGCUGUCACUUAUAGAUGGAUCCGCGCUGCAUUAGCUAGUUGGUAAGGUAACGGCUUACCAAGGCAACGAUGCAUAGCCGACCUGAGAGGGUGAUCGGCCACACUGGAACUGAGACACGGUCCAGACUCCUACGGGAGGCAGCAGUAGGGAAUCUUCCGCAAUGGGCGAAAGCCUGACGGAGCAACGCCGCGUGAGUGAUGAAGGUCUUCGGAUCGUAAAACUCUGUUAUUAGGGAAGAACAUAUGUGUAAGUAACUGUGCACAUCUUGACGGUACCUAAUCAGAAAGCCACGGCUAACUACGUG